This 498-nucleotide ribosomal RNA is filed under the name uncultured bacterium. RNAcentral describes it as "partial 16S ribosomal RNA". It matches the Rfam family "Bacterial small subunit ribosomal RNA", at positions 29 to 523 of the family's 1533-position model. The record is from RNAcentral.
AUUGAACGCUGGCGGAAUGCUUUACACAUGCAAGUCGAGCGGCAGCGCGGGGCAACCUGGCGGCGAGCGGCGAACGGGUGAGUAAUACAUCGGAACGUACCCUGUUGUGGGGGAUAGCGAAUCGAAAGAUUCGCUAAUACCGCAUACGACCUGAGGGUGAAAGUGGGGGAUCGCAAGACCUCACGCGAUAGGAGCGGCCGAUGUCGGAUUAGCUAGUUGGUGGGGUAAAGGAUCACCAAGGCGACGAUCCGUGGCGGGUCUGAGAGGACGGCCCGCCACACUGGAACUGAGACGCGGUCCAGACUCCUACGGGAGGCAGCAGUGGGGAAUUUUGGACAAUGGGGGCAACCCUGAUCCAGCCAUUCCGCGUGAGUGAAGAGGGCCUUCGGGUUGUAAAGCUCUUUCGGCAGGAACGAAACGGUCCUAGUUAAUACCUGGGGCUAAUGACGGUACCUGAAGAAGAAGCACCGGCUAACUACGUGCCAGCCGCCGCCGUAA